GUUCCUGUCAUUUUGGCCACCAUAUGGGAAACAUCAUGAGAACAUUCUGGGAGUACCAACUUAUGGGCCUUCAACGACUAAACCCCAACAUACUUGAAAAGGAGAUUUUUCAGUUCCAAGAUUUGAGAUUCUUGUCAUUCAGUGCAAAACUGUGGAUUCUGGAACGUAAACUAUACAAAAUAAAGGCAGGCGAAUAUAGUUAAUUCACAUACAUUAUUGUCAAUGCAAAUUCUGGCCACCAAUGUACCUUACUAAUUUGAGAAUACUUUUGAGAGUUUGGAAAAGGUACCAGGAAACAGCUGUGAACCAAUCAAUCCCCUGAUAUUAUGCAGAACUGGAAGACUUUGUCUGGAAAAUCACAAGACAUCUUCCAUAUGAUAGACUCAAGGAAGUGGCCAUACACGCUCUAAAUUGAUAUCCUGUUCUCGAUAAAGUGUAGUCCUCUUCCAGUAGAGCCUCAUCUCCAAAGAUACAGCUGAAGCAGAUCUGUGCAACAAUUCAUUGUAUGUUUUGUAGCGUUAGAUACUUCCAGUUCAAAAAUGUAGUGGUACUUUACAGAACUGAUGAUUAUUUCAGGAAAGUUCAGUUGUAGGUAUUCAAUUAGUAUUCCUGCAGUUCAUCAAACAAAUGUCAUUUCUGAAAGGUCUGGAAACUCUGUAGCAGUUCAAGUUCGAUCGAUCAACAAACUAAAAAUGCCGCCUAUUGCUUCUCAAGCUAGAGAAGCAAAACG
Anolis sagrei ordinatus is the source of this 730-nucleotide non-coding RNA. The record is from RefSeq and is a predicted model, not a curated record. NCBI's taxonomy places the organism in Eukaryota, Metazoa, Chordata, Lepidosauria, Squamata, Anolidae.